RNAcentral lists this ribosomal RNA (253 nucleotides) under uncultured bacterium. RNAcentral's name for it is "partial 16S ribosomal RNA". It matches the Rfam family "Bacterial small subunit ribosomal RNA", at positions 524 to 776 of the family's 1533-position model. The record is from RNAcentral.
UACGAGUGCCCCGAGCGUUAUCCGGAAUUAUUGGGCGUAAAGGGUGUGUAGGCGGUUUUGUUAGUCUUGUGUUAAAGCUCUCGGCUCAACCGAGGAAAUGCCUUUGAUACUGUUAAGCUUGAAUUAUGUUGAAGAUGGCGGAAUGAGACAAGUAGCGGUGAAAUGCAUAGAUAUGUCUCAGAACACCGAUUGCGAAGGCAGCUGUCUAAACAUGGAUUGACACUGAUGCGCGAAAGCGUGGGGAUCAAACAGG